Molecule: unclassified non-coding RNA, 357 nt
Filed under: soil metagenome
Description: partial contains 5.8S ribosomal RNA, internal transcribed spacer 2, and large subunit ribosomal RNA
Rfam family: 5.8S ribosomal RNA (bases 1-120)
Source: RNAcentral
GAUGAAGAACGUAGCGAAAUGCGAUAAGUAAUGUGAAUUGCAGAAUUCAGUGAAUCAUCGAAUCUUUGAACGCACAUUGCGCCCGCUGGUAUUCCGGCGGGCAUGCCUGUUCGAGCGUCAUUUCAACCCUCAAGCUCUCUGGAGUUUGGUGUUGGGGCGCCUGGGGCUUUUCGACCUCAGGGCCCUCAAGUCCAUCGGCGGGACCGCCAGGACACUGAGCGCAGUAGUAUUAUUUCGCUCGGUAGGAUCUUCCACGGCGGGUCGAUCUGGCCGCUAAACCCCCCAAUUCUCACCAAAGGUUGACCUCGGAUCAGGUAGGAAUACCCGCUGAACUUAAGCAUAUCAAUAAGCGGAGGA